Molecule: non-coding RNA, 411 nt
Organism: Pelobates cultripes (western spadefoot toad)
Lineage: Eukaryota; Metazoa; Chordata; Amphibia; Anura; Pelobatidae
Source: the annotation of a GenBank genome assembly
CUUGAUUAAGGUGUGCAUAGGAGGUAACUAUUUAACAAACUUACCUCGUCAUAAUUUUUACCUACUAGUAUUGAUAAUUUAACCCCUUAAGGACACAACUUCUGGAAUAAAAGGGAAUCAUGACAGAAUAUUUCCAUCGUGUCCUUAAGGGGUUAACAUACAGUUAAUUAUGCUAUUUGUUGUAUGUGAUGAUCUGGCUACAAAGCAAAUAGUUCUGGGAGUUAUCAUUCAACUUUUAACUUCUUCAGGACUUAACCCAUCUAAUGAGUAUAUACUACCCCAGAAACCUGCUGUGCAGGUAUUUAUGGUGUAAGCUCAGCAUUCCCAUAGAGUGUCACUGGAGCAUAAUGACUUCUAGCUAAGUGAUAUUUUUUUAUCUGCACAGAACUGUCUGUAGAAGCUGUAAAUCAC